RNAcentral lists this ribosomal RNA (468 nucleotides) under uncultured bacterium. RNAcentral's name for it is "partial 16S ribosomal RNA". It matches the Rfam family "Bacterial small subunit ribosomal RNA", at positions 28 to 507 of the family's 1533-position model. The record is from RNAcentral.
GACGAACGCUGGCGGCGUGCUUAACACAUGCAAGUCGAACGGAAAGGCCCUGCUUUUGUGGGGUGCUCGAGUGGCGAACGGGUGAGUAACACGUGAGUAACCUGCCCUUGACUUUGGGAUAACUUCAGGAAACUGGGGCUAAUACCGGAUAGGAGCUCCUGCUGCAUGGUGGGGGUUGGAAAGUUUCGGCGGUUGGGGAUGGACUCGCGGCUUAUCAGCUUGUUGGUGGGGUAGUGGCUUACCAAGGCUUUGACGGGUAGCCGGCCUGAGAGGGUGACCGGCCACCUUGGGACUGAGAUACGGACCAGACUCCUACGUGAGGCAGCAGUGGGGAAUAUUGCACAAUGGGCGGAAGCCUGAUGCAGCCACGCCGCGUGCGGGAUGACGGCCUUCGGGUUGUAAACCGCUUUCGCCUGUGACGAAGCGUGAGUGACGGUAAUGGGUAAAGAAGCACCGGCUAACUACGUG